GGUUGAUGGGAGAGCCCGGUCUGUAUGGGAAGCGACUUUGGAAGAAGAGGGACCAUAGCGUCUGUGCGCGAAGACACCGUGGCACAGAUUUGUUCUGACAAGUCUCGUGUUGGUGAAGGCGGCGAGUUUAGAGAUAUGAUAGACAUAUUUCUACAGCAAAGUGCCGCAGUCAUGGCCACACGGGGAACUUUGACACAGAUGCAAGCUUCCACAAGGAGAGUGCUCGUCCUUCCUCCUGCCAGAGCAUCAGCACCUUGGCUUUAGACUGCUUACUGCUUAUACAGUGUCACAGUACAGUAACAGUCUACAGUCAUGGCUACUGAAGCCUGGCAAUGCAUCAAGCACCACAGUGAAGGCAUGAAAAGAAACUCCCAAUGGACAGACUGUGGUAUACUUUUAAAAUGGCUGACCUGGUAGCAGGAGCGCACUCUGUGUGUUAGAGAUCUAUCUUUUUUUUUUUUCUUCUCUCCUCCCAGGAAAGGAAACCUGUGUGGGCUUGCAUUGGGAGAGUCCUACACCAUGUAAGUGCGUAACAUCCACCCUUAAACCAAUGAGACCUUGCAGUUUCUAGUUACCAUGCCAACUCCAGUUCCUCCUCCACCCUGCUGUCUCCAUGGCGACCGUGGCUUUAGAUUGUUACUCUAGCAAUGGCACCACGGUAACAGUCUACAGCCAUGGUCGUUAGGGGCAGGUGUCGUCAGAAAAGAGGGAAAAAAGUUGAGUUGUUGGUAAUAUUCAACUUUACCUUUGAUUUCUAAGUGACAUGACGUCAAAGGCCACUCAUUCAGAAGUAUUGAUUUGCUUGACUCAGUGUUAUAAUCCUGUGUGACAUGACGCACCUAAUGUGUAUUCUUAAUGCACCAAACAAUCAAGUGUACAAUGACACACGUCGAACACGCACUGCUUUUCACUUUUACUUUAUUAGGAACAAUGUGUUUCUUUAUGGCUUGCACAUUGAGUACAGUGAUGAAUGCAAAGAGCACAUCCAGAGUGGUGGAUGAGUCAGCCAGCUCCAACACCUGUUCCGCUCUCUGUUUAUCAGACGAGAGCAGCUUCACUUCAAAGAAGCACAGCCAGGAAUUCCCAGCGGGCAGCACUAUAACCUGCAGGCAGACGUAAACACAGACUGGGUCCUGCACAGGUGGGCUUACCCACACGCACACGCACACGCACACGCACGCACGCGCGCACACACACACACACACACACACACGCACACACACACAUCCUGUAUUCUGACAACAAAAGAUUAGUACUUAGUCCACUCAGUCUCAAGCACAUCUCUAUGAUAUUCAAAGUUAUACUGCCCUCUACAGGCCAGGAUUUGCCAAUGUCGUCUUCUUAAUGUUUUUUUUUCUUUUUUUUCUAAGCUGGAGCAUUGAAGCAAAACAUGAGUCUGAUUUUAAUGAAAUAAAAAUUAAAAACAUUCACCGCAGUGUUCUGGGGAUGCUUUCCGAUGUUCCAUCAAACACGUGUCUCAGUUAGUUUGUAAUCGAUGUGACGGAUGCUUAUUAAAAGUCAGAGGGGAAAAGUUGGUUAAAGCAAGAUGAAUAUUUUAUGAGACUCCAGACACAGACAUGUCAGAAAUGUUGUUAUCUAAAUUAUAAGUGUCAGCUGUUGGAUAUCUAGAGAGCGGGAGCAGCAGAAAUUCUGAAUGCGAGUACAGUCAGCACAGAGAGCGGGGCAGCACCAUAUUAGUUCUCGCAUUAAAGAUGUAGAGAGCAUUACAUUUUGGAGAAGAGACGAAACAGGCACAGAGGCAGAACCGGACUUCGUAUUCUUUCAAAAAGGCAACUUAAAAUUGCAGAAUGCUGCAACAAUAUGAGGCUCAUAA
This is a long non-coding RNA of Mugil cephalus (flathead mullet), 1834 nucleotides long. RefSeq lists it as uncharacterized. The record is from RefSeq and is a predicted model, not a curated record. The transcript is spliced from 2 exons. NCBI's taxonomy places the organism in Eukaryota, Metazoa, Chordata, Actinopteri, Mugiliformes, Mugilidae.